UACGGGGGAUGCAAGCGUUAUCCGGAAUUACUGGGCGUAAAGCGUCCGUAGGUGGUUUUAAAAGUCUGUUGUCAAAGCGCGAGGCUUAACCUCGUACAGGCAGUGGAAACUAUAAGACUAGAGUGCGGUAGGGGUAGAGGGAAUUUCCAGUGUAGCAGUGAAAUGCGUAGAGAUCGGGAGGAACAUCUGUGGCGAAGGCGGCCAUCUGGACCAGCACUGACACUGAGGGACGAAAGCUAGGGGAGCGAAUGGG
Molecule: ribosomal RNA, 253 nt
Filed under: uncultured bacterium
Lineage: Bacteria
Description: partial 16S ribosomal RNA
Rfam family: Bacterial small subunit ribosomal RNA
Source: RNAcentral